GUUGCAUCAAGGUCGAACGUGCUCGGACAUAUGAGCUGAUGUGAGGAGAUGCCAAAUUCAAUGACCAUAGGACAGUCCAGGCUUAUCAGAGCUGGUGAGGGUGCAAUGACUCGCAGUCCACCCUGGAGCGACGGUACUGAUCUCACCAGAGUUUUGUCCACUUACACCCAGGCUGAUUCAUAGGGGUGUGUUUAGCCUGGCAGCACUGGCAAAUCCCAGAAACAAGGCAACUGAGACAUCUGAGACCAGCCCUGAGUAUGCUGCUAAUAAGUUCAUCUGAGACUGAGGGUCUGAGAUGCUUUGGCAAUGUUGCCCUAAUUUGGAGAUCUGGUGCACGUGGAUUGGGAGUGCACGGGUCAUGCUUCUCGGCAGCGUAGACAACUCUGUGUAUCUGAGAUACUGGUCUCUCACUCAGCGUGCUAUUUUUUAUUCUUUUUUUGGCAGCUGGAGGAAUAGUAAAUGGGGUUUGAGGAAGCAAAGUUGAAUGCGGUGGGGAGGAGCAGGGUGAAGGGAGACCGACUUUGAGAAGGUGUCUGUAGCCAGCAAAAGUAAACUUCCCAGAUCCCAUGGAUGGGUGUGUUCAAAAUACGCCUGAAGUUCUCCAGCGAAUAGAAGUGCUGCCUGUGCUUUGUUUUUGCAGAGCAGACAGCCAAAGCAAACAGGCAGGUUUUCUGCCCUCAGGCCUGUUAGCAAGGGAAGGGGAACUGAGGAGCAUUAAUGCUGGAUUUGCAUUCAGUUUGGUGUGAAACUGCUCAGAUAUUGGAAGGCCUGGCAUAUACGUGCUUUAGGUGAGUCAUUUUUAUACAAGCUCAGGGUAAUCUUAGCUUGAGAGAAAUUCUGCUUGCACCAAUAUCUUUCUUAGGGCCUGUGCUGUGCUUCCUCAUAAUAUUUCAUCCGAGGUUUCCAAAGGCCUUAGCGACACAUUAAUGAACCUUUGAAACUCACUGCACUAUUAUCCCCAUUUUACAGAGGGUGAAGCUGAGGCGCAGAGAGGCAGGUAUGGCUGUUUGUUUAAGCUCACACAAAAGACUGCCUGAUUCUCAUCCCCGUGCUCCGAGUUACUAUAUCACUUCACUAGAUCAACGCAAGCUUGGGCCUGUUCUACAGGCCGAGGUUGUUGCAGGAGGAAGCGAAGCAAGAAAACAGACCUGGACGAGGAAGAGCGAACGGGGAAAUAACAGAAGAGAUCAAGGCGAGCCUACAGCUUUGCACGACAAACCGCCCUGGGAGGUGGUACUGGGAUGCAGCUCGUUCUCGUGAGAAAGGGGCCUGGAUCCAGUCCCCACACCCAGGCACCCCGUGCCUUGGAGGGUGCCCGACCCGGGGCCGAGGGCGUGCAGCCUUGCUGUGGUUGACUCUUAGCCACAUGCCGGCUGACUUCAUGCCUCCUUCCUACAAGACAGACUCCCGCCUCAACGGGAGCCCUGCAGGCAGCCUGAGGCUUCCCUGACACAGAGUCCGCCUGGCCCAGAGGAGCUGGGAUCAAAGCUGCAGUGAAUGAUGUCCUGGGCGAGCCCCCGGGUGUUGUUUUAAGAGGAAUAAACCUUGUUGGCUAGAAAGGGUCCA
Long non-coding RNA from Crocodylus porosus (Australian saltwater crocodile), 1566 nucleotides. The record is from Ensembl. NCBI's taxonomy places the organism in Eukaryota, Metazoa, Chordata, Crocodylia, Crocodylidae.